This is a long non-coding RNA of Gasterosteus aculeatus aculeatus (three-spined stickleback), 5634 nucleotides long. The record is from Ensembl. NCBI's taxonomy places the organism in Eukaryota, Metazoa, Chordata, Actinopteri, Perciformes, Gasterosteidae.
GGCAGGGCUCAGGAAGUCCCGCUACGCUGAUUAACACACACUCUGCUGUUCCUCGCUGUAGGAUGUUCUUUCAAAAAGGCUCUGCUGAGAGUUUUGCCGUUAUUCUUCCCAAAGCUUGCUUGGCGAUGUCGUUCGGCGCGGUCAUUGCUAUGGAAACCGGAUUGUUUGUUAACCAAGUUUAGCAGCUACCAACUGCUCAGUGCUAUGAUACGAGGGAGCGUAAGACACCUGGUGGGAACAAUACGUUGGCAGGGUUUCUUCUUUGCUGAUUCCGAAUGUCCGUUUGGGGUUCCGGGUUCCUGCAGAGCAGAAGACAGAGGCCAACAAGCUGGAGGACGUCAGUAAAACGCACACACAGCUACUAAAUAGAUUCACAUAAUAAGUGGAUUAGCCAUCAACAUGGUGCACAUCCACUUUCUGUUGGAGACUCACUUUUGACAAUUGUGUUUGGGGAUACUUCUGCAGUGGUCGGCUUGGCCAAGGGGACUUUACAGUAAUUACAUGUGACUACAUGUAACAGUCAAUGACAUAUUGGUUUGGGGUUUGUGAGACCCUGUGGUACGGAGACUGGAGCAGACGGGGUUGCAGGCUGUCAUGACCCUGCUGGGCAAAGAGCCUACCAUGAGCAGAAGCCAAGAGACUUUAGGGAUGGAUGAAAAGAGAGUUUGGCAAAGAAACAAGUGAAUACAAAAGUGUUCACAGUGCUCCAAAACUGAAUAGAGCCAAACCAGACGAGUGCAGAUUGUGUUGAGUAAUACUGAAGAAAGGAAAGAUUUAACCAGAAAGAAAGGGAUCACAGAUUGAGAGAGACACCAUUGGUAAGGUUCACUUUCCUCGUGAUAACGGCUUUAUCCAUUUUCAUUGGUUUUUGAAGAUUAUAACAACAAUAACCUCUCUUAAGCUCUUCUGUUGUCAAAUCUUCCUGUGAGGAACUGAAAGAGCUCUUUGUGCACACUCACACUGCAAUAACAUGCCUCAGAAGGAAUUUACAAAACUGAUUAUAUGAAAGCAAUUAGUAGGGUAGUUUUUACAGCUUUUGGCAUACAUUUUGUAUCAGAGACUUCUUACAAGAGGUUUGAACCUAAGCCCGUUUGCGUAUUGUUUUGUUUGUCUUUAGCAACUGCACUACUUUUCCCUCUUGCUCAUCACACUGCUGUGGAGUCUUUUAUUUAGAUAAAUCUACAUCGGGUAAAUCUACGCGGUUUUCUGACCUUAUGUCGCCUUGUGGCUGGCAGGUGAGUCUCUAGGCUAUAGAGCACUAUUGUGUUUUGUGUAUGUUGUUUAGUAUCUCUUAUUUGGGAACAUAAACAGCAUGAGUAUGAGCUGCUGCCUUCAAUUGUCUGUCUGUGAACGAGGUGCAUGUUUGUGUGUGUGUGUGUGUGUGUGUGUGUGUGUGUGUGUGUGUGUGUGUGUGUGUGUGUGUGUGUGUGUGUGUGUGUGUGUUGGAUCUGGAGGCCAAAUUACUGGCAAUUGUGUUGCGCAAUGAGCCUCCAGAGCGAGAAUAACAGAAGGACUUGGUGAGCAGCAUUGCUAUGGCCCAGAGAAGGCAGCAGGAGCUGCGAAGAUGAGAUCUUCAGGGUGUUCAGCUGGUAACAGUAAUUGUUGUUCUAUCUUGGUAGUGUUGAGCACAUUGUAAACAGCAGUAGUGAUACCAGUGAGAUCUGCCUCCCAGGGUUUUGGCGAAUGUAUUGAAGGCAUAGAGCAUAGAAGGCUCAUCAACAACGUAGUAGCACGACAUCUGCGCUGGUCAUCCAGGCUCAUCUCAGCGCACUACAGCAGUCCACGUUAUGUCUUUUUAAGGCAGAUGUCAUGUUCUUUAUGUCAACUAGUCCACAUGUGAAACCCACACCCUGAAUAUAAGGAAUCUAAUUGAAAUGUGUUACAUUUGUGAUGCAUAUAAACCUUAUGCCUUUCCUACGUUUAUAGAUGUUUUUCUAGCCGUGGUUGCAUUUCCGUGUAUAGUUUUUGUACGUGCGUCUGCUGUAGCAGGCGGCUGACAAGGCGACUGGUUCGCUGCUCGCAGCGGGAAGCUGGUGAACACCGUGCAGUCAUCAGAAGUGACGGCCACUGAAGUUUCAAUUAUAAGCCACCACCGUGUUUGUGGACAGUUUGAUGGGCACCUGUUUGCCUUCCCUGUCCAUAUUUAAAGAAGUAAUUGACAAAGGACGGCGUUAAUUUGCAUGUAAUUUUGUGAUUGCAGUAUGUUCAUAUAACAGGCCUUCGCCUAGUGAGCCUCCAUCCUUCUGGUUGAAAUGCUCGCUCACAGCCUUUAAUGCUGGAUAAUUCCGAUUAUAACCCUAUUUUGCAUGAUCAAUCACAUACAUGCACUGGGUUUGUUGAGUUACUUUAGCUCUGCCGGUGCACGAGUCUCGGACUGUUGUAGCUUCCAGGUGUGUGCAUCAUGGAUGAGACGCAGCUCCUUUUAUUCCCAAAGGACUGUAACACAGCUGAAGCCCCGACGGACAUGUAAAAUUUGAGUAGUGAUCCCCCUCAAAGACAUUUCAUUAACGUUGUGCUUCCAAAUAUAUCCCCGGUAAUUUUUAAGGAUUAUAUCUUCCAUAACUGCACUGUCCUCGCCAGCGAAUUUCUUGGUAUCCUUUCGGAGAGGCCGGGUGCGUUUGAUUGCGGCGCCGGUGAGUUUACUGAUACACUAAUCAAUAGACAGGCGUGGUUAUAAGCACUAGAUGAGGCAGAUCCGACGGACGGCCCCGGUGCCAGUCGGCUGGUAGGCUCCAGCUGGAACAACAUCACAGAGCUGCAUAAGCUACCCAGCUUCCAUGCCAUCGUGGCCCCCUUUGAACAGCGCCCCGGAGACCGGGAGCUCCGGUUCGCCGCUGCUGAGCCAAGGAACGCCACACUGGGACGUUUUCCUUUGGUGUUGCAUUCAAACCAGCUGAGGCCUCAGGUAUUUAAGCUCUUUGGCAGACCGUUGUGGGAAGAUCUUUCUGUGAGGGCUCCGGUCCGUCCUCCGAAAAACAAUCUCAAUCAUCUUCUUGCUCCAGCAACAGUGUGGGAGCAAAUCUUUGCGUCUGCGUGUCAUAAAAACUGUAGCUCAAUGUGUAUAAUUAUCCUUUGAAACAAAUCGUUUGAGAGGUUUAUGGACGUGUGUUUCAUAUGCUGUCGAGUAGAAAGGAGAAAAACUGCACAUUAAUUGUUGACUGACGGAUGAAAAUGGGAAGCAGCGUGAAAUCGAGUCGGCCAACAUUUAGCAAAGUGGCAGCAGAACAAACGGACGUGGUUGCCAAAGACAUUGAUCAAAAUGUUUCUGUUUGUCGUGAGUGAACAGCUAGCAGCUGAAAUGGGUUCUAUUUUCAUAGGCAGGUUUUCUGUUGGGUUGAAUAGAUAUAACGGAGAUGGAAAGAAAUGAAAGUCCGUUUUGGGGAGAGCUCUUUAGAUCUUUGCAGGUACACAGUGUUCAUUGCAGCGUAUCAGCACUGGGUUGGGUUGACCUAGAGCGAGAGUAAAUUACCGUGACGUGGCGAGACAUUAGCCUGUUCCUCAGCUAAAAUGAUUUGCAAUUGUCAAUUCCUACAGAAGUAUGAGGUCCGAGACGAUUUUCCAGCAUCAAAUUGGGCUUGUCCAACCAAUCAUACAAGAGUAUUUAAUAUGUCAAUGAGAAAACGCAAACCAGUGAUUUUAAGAGAAUACCUUCUACGUAGGGAGGAGCCCUAAAGAUGCAAACCAGCAACAAUAGGCACAUCCGCGGUACCUCUAUGAGGUGCACAGUGAUCUUAACCAGAGCAGGAAUCAGAAAUGACUGCAAAAUGAAAAUAACAAAAGGAGGUAGAAAUGACAGAUGUGUUGUGUGUCUGUUACUGUUUAAGCGCGUGUGUGUGUGUGUGUGUGUGUGUGUGUGUGUGUGUGUGUGUGUGUGUAAAAGCUUCUCCCUGGCAAAGAUGGAGAGGGAUCAAAGGCUUAGCUGUGAUGCAGUCCAGCUGGUAGGACACCUUCUGCUUCAUCUAUGACGCCACCACCGCAGGAGAAGCUUUCCACCUCUGAUAAUGUUCAGAUGGUGCACGUGCACACACUGCAAGCAGCAGCAAGAGGGGUCACACCUCCUGAAGUGAGAAGUGAGACUGCACCUGCUCUCAUGAAGUGGGCGGACUGACGACGGUGCACAAGUGCUGCAACAAUCAAUAACGCUAAGACGGCUUCUGUUUUGGGGAUGUGCGUCGACUGGAAUCCCGACUUGGCUGGUGAGGAGAGAACACAGCCUGCUGUCAGCCUGGGUCAAGGGGCCAGACAAGAUUCUGGCUACACACACGUGUGUGUGUGCGUGUGCGUGCAAGCAACCAGGGGUCAUUCAGGGCAGCUUGAGUUUCUCUUCAAGUGUCUGAGUUGGUCCUCAUUAUCGGCUGCUGCGCGUGAAAGCAGGGGCGCACCCUUCCCCGAAGCCCCCUCGGCAGCGUGGAGCAGAAAUCUGUGCCAGCAACUCCAUCAGUUUGCAUGUUCUGGCUCCCCCGGGUUCCCCCACCGCCGCGCCGCAGUCCUCUGCUCCGGAUGGUCUGACACCGUUAGGAAAUGCGUGUGGCCAUCGGUCACAGAUCCCGAUGAGGGAUGGACGGAUGAGACGCACCCCGCUAACGGGAUUCCAAUGUGAAGGAAUUAAUAAUAGCUACAAUUCGCUUUCACCAGCUUUCACUGACAUUAUGUUCUGUAUGUAACAUUUGGUCCAACCAACAAAUCAACAUGGCGUCGAGCUGUCCUCCUGCUGGAUGUCCAAGGUGACUCCCUCCACACACGGUUCCAUAAGGAUUCCAUCGGACCUCUUUUCUUUCUGAGCCAUUAACUUUCCGCUGUCAUCUGCACUUUCCAUUACAUUUUUCAUUUCUACCGAAACAUUGACUAUUGUUGUCGCUAUUUUUUUUGCAUGUCGCUUUGCGCCUCUCCCCUCCCACGCCUCAAAUCUGCCCUUCAAUGCUUUUACCUGAGCAAUUAAAAAAUCAGAUUUCGACCAUGGUGAAAAGUGUUUUCAUUUGUCACGUUUUUCCCGCUUCAAAGUAGCUGUCAUUGUUUAGCUCUUUACCUCUCACUCACUUCCCUAACAGCUCCUCUGUGCUCACCCACGUUCCUCUCCCCUUUUCCUCGCUGUGCUACUCCGAAACCAACGCACACUUCCGGCUCCUCUUGUCUUUCAUACUGCUUCCCUUUCGUUCCCUCUGUCCACUCUCUCUCUCUCUCUCUCCAUCUCAGCCUCAUCCCUCUCUCCUAGCUCCUCUCUUUCCCCUGUAGACCUCAACCUUUCCCUUGUUGUAGCCCCUCUUACUCCUUUUUACAGUUUGAUUACCUGAUUGGCACGGCAGUGCGUCAUGAACCAAAGCAGUAGGGCAGGCGGUCACCUCCAAAGUGUCGAUAUCUCUCACCUUACGGGCCCAUCCCUUUUCUGGCCACUCAUUGCCACCGUUCACAUAGUUACUCCCCAUUGCUUCCUGUUCAUUCGCACUGCGUGAUGUCAUGCUUUGUAGUUUUGCUGUCUCAUCUGUGUCACCACUUCCUGGUGCGUGCGGGUGGGACAGGCUGGGCACAGGAACCAGAUUUCAAAUUCAAAUUAUAAUUGAACAUACUUCUUAUAUCUGUGGUAUUUUGUAAUACAGGUCCUCACACCCGGGCUUUAACAAUAAAUGGAACCCCCCC